UCCUAAGUAUCAGGCAAAGGGAUAACGUCCACCAGGGACAGAUUAAAGAUUCUUCCCAAGACACACCCAGGGCAUCUGCACUGUCCACUCCCUUCCCUCACCCACCUUCAUGACCAUGUAGAAUGCAUCCUUUCCAGAGCCCAGCAGAAGUGGGUACAGUGACAGGGAUGCACUAUGGUGUGUGUAAAGCUGAAAAAGAUAAGCCCCGGUCUCUGGAGGAGUCUGAGUCAUUUGAUAGUUGAAAUGUGGAAAAUACUCAAUGAAUGCCACUACUCAAAAUCAGGUCUUGUGAUGCCAAGUUUAGUGUCAUUUCCUUUCCCAAUUUCACUCUAAAGGAACUCAUUUUCCAUUUCCUACUUGCCAGAAUCCUUUUUUUCUUUCUCAGUCUCUCUCUACCCCACAUUUCAGUUUCACAAAGUAUCUGGCUCUGGUGACAUAGCUAUCUGUUAUUUGGAAAGAUGCACCAUGGUGAAUGCUUCCCAUCCUAUGACACCCAGAAGAAGACCACACCUGCCUUCUGCCUUUUUACACCAUUCACUAAUUAAUACCCACUGUGUUCUCGGUACUCAACUGCCUGUGAAGGUCUUCAGAAACAAGUGUUGAACCUCAGAGCAGAGGUGGAUAUUAAGAGAUGACAUUGGUGAGUGCUUCCCUACAAUUACCAUGUCAUGAGAAGGAACACAAAGGAAAAAAAACAGAGAUGGAUUUGCUCUGGGAGACGUGGAAAGCUACCAAGAAUUCAGGUGGUGAAUGCUUGGUCUCCAGACAGCAGUGCUAUUUGAAGAAGUUGAGGAACAUUAGCUGAAGGAUGUAGGUCACUACGGACAUGGCCUUUGAAGGUUAUACCUGAUUCUCAUCCCAGUCCCAGCACCACGCUUCCUGUCUGUCCUCUGCCGUAGUCUCCUGUCACCAUGAGGUUGUGUGUUACCAUGAACUCAGAAUCAACAGACCCAAGCACUGUGGAUAGAAACUGUAAAUAAAUCCUUCCUUUCUUAAGUUAUUUAUGUCAGGUAUUUGUCAUAAAGACAAAAACCUAACACACUACUGAAGAAACCACCAAUAAAACCACCCUAAAAUACUCUUAAA
Molecule: long non-coding RNA, 1086 nt
Organism: Mesocricetus auratus (golden hamster)
Lineage: Eukaryota; Metazoa; Chordata; Mammalia; Rodentia; Cricetidae
Exons: 2
Source: RefSeq, a predicted model, not a curated record